GUCUUCGUGGUCUAGUUGGUCAGGACGUUUGUCUUACACACAAAAGAUCCCCGGUUCGAGCCCGGGCGAGGACA
This is a non-coding RNA of Xylaria curta, 74 nucleotides long. The record is from the annotation of a GenBank genome assembly. Lineage: Eukaryota; Fungi; Ascomycota; Sordariomycetes; Xylariales; Xylariaceae.